This 575-nucleotide ribosomal RNA is filed under the name uncultured bacterium. Its description in RNAcentral is "bacterial SSU rRNA". It matches the Rfam family "Bacterial small subunit ribosomal RNA", at positions 270 to 842 of the family's 1533-position model. The record is from RNAcentral.
GAGGCGACGAUGCGUAGGGGUUCUGAGAGGAAGGUCCCCCACACUGGUACUGAGACACGGACCAGACUCCUACGGGAGGCAGCAGUGAGGAAUAUUGGUCAAUGGCCGGGAGGCUGAACCAGCCAAGUCGCGUGAGGGAAGACGGCCCUACGGGUUGUAAACCUCUUUUGUCAGGGAGCAAGGUGCAGGUCGGGACCUGCUGUGAGAGUACCUGAAGAAAAAGCAUCGGCUAACUCCGUGCCAGCAGCCGCGGUAAUACGGAGGAUGCGAGCGUUAUCCGGAUUUAUUGGGUUUAAAGGGUGCGCAGGCGGAGGCACAAGUCAGCGGUAAAAUCGCGGGGCUCAACCCCGCUCCGCCGUUGAAACUGUGUCCCUUGAGUGCGCGAAGGGUAGGCGGAAUGCGUGGUGUAGCGGUGAAAUGCAUAGAUAUCACGCAGAACUCCGAUCGCGAAGGCAGCCUACCGGCGCGCAACUGACGCUCAUGCACGAAAGCGUGGGUAUCGAACAGGAUUAGAUACCCUGGUAGUCCACGCAGUAAACGAUGAAUGCUAUCUGUCCGGCCGGAAUGACGGCUGG